UAUAUACUUCCUCCGUCCCAAAAUUCUUGUCAUAGAUUUGUCUUCAAAUGAAUGUAUCUAAAUACUAAAAUGAGACUAGAUACGUUCAUAUCUACAUAAAUAUAAGACAAGAAUUUUAGGACGGAGGGAGUAUGCG
This is a non-coding RNA of Hordeum vulgare subsp. vulgare (domesticated barley), 136 nucleotides long. The record is from Rfam. Lineage: Eukaryota; Viridiplantae; Streptophyta; Magnoliopsida; Poales; Poaceae.